ACAAAUGCUCCGUUACCCCGCAAUACGAAUCCUUAUAACUGCUCAUGACCUUGACUUGUCAAAAUCUUUCUUCUCAUGUCAGAUUGCUAUCACAUUACCACACUGCCGCAUAAUCUUUCAUGAAGUUUGAGAUGCAGGCAUGCAGCAUGUCAUAGAUGAUAAAAGCACAAGGUCAAUGGUUUGUAAUACUCAUUAAUCCGUAAUAAGAGACGAAAUUUGGUUAUCAUGUUGCUUCAAGUGUAUUAAAAGAAGAGUUCAAAAUCUUUUGAGACAUAUAUGCAGACCGAUAUUAUUGAGUUCAAAGAUGAUUAACAAUGCAUACUCUAAAUCGCCUAUCUUACACUAGAAUGAAGUAAAUAAGACAUAUAGUCACCUGCUUUCGAGCUCGAGAUCUUGCAGCAGAUUCUCUGUUCUUUAUCAUUCUCCUUUGCCGUCUCUCGGCAACCUUCUCCACAGCACUGCAUUUCCUACCCCUAGAACUUCCAUUUAACACAUAAGGAACCG
Molecule: long non-coding RNA, 504 nt
Filed under: Gossypium raimondii (Peruvian cotton)
Lineage: Eukaryota; Viridiplantae; Streptophyta; Magnoliopsida; Malvales; Malvaceae
Description: long non-coding RNA (GRAI_LNC003609)
Source: RNAcentral